GACGAACGCUGGCGGCGUGCUUAAUACAUGCAAGUCGAGCGGUAAGGCCCUUUCGGGGGUACACGAGCGGCGAACGGGUGAGUAACACGUGGGUGACCUGCCCUCAGCUCUGGGAUAAGCCUGGGAAACUGGGUCUAAUACUGGAUAUGACUCCACGGUGCAUGUCGUGGGGUGGAAAGCCUUGUGCGGCUGAGGAUGGGCCCGCGGCCUAUCAGCUUGUUGGUGGGGAUGGCCUACCAAGGCGACGACGGGUAGCCGGCCUGAGAGGGCGACCGGCCACACUGGGACUGAGACACGGCCCAGACUCCUACGGGAGGCAGCAGUGGGGAAUCUUGCGCAAUGGGCGAAAGCCUGACGCAGCGACGCCGCGUGAGGGAUGACGGCCUGG
Molecule: ribosomal RNA, 388 nt
Filed under: uncultured bacterium
Lineage: Bacteria
Description: bacterial SSU rRNA
Rfam family: Bacterial small subunit ribosomal RNA
Source: RNAcentral